GGGGGCCCCCAACCCCCAGCCCUGAUACUAACAUUUUAAAAAUAUAUAUUUGGGGCCAGCGCUGUGGUGCAGUAGGUUAAUCCCUCUGCCUGCGGCACCAGCAUCCCAUAUAGGUGCCAGUUCUGGUCCCGGCUGCUCCACUUCUGAUCUGGCUCUCUGCUGUGGCCUGGGAAAGCAGUGGAGGAUGGCCCAGGUCUUUGGGCCCCUGCACCCAUGUGGGAGACCGGGAGGAAGCUCCUGGGUCCUGGCUUAGGAUUGGCACAGCUCUGGCCAUUGCAGCCAUUUGGGGGGUGAACCAACGGAAGGAAGACCUUUUUCUCUGUCUCUCCCUCUCACUGUCUGUAACUCUACCUCUCAAAUAAAAUAAGUAAAAUCUUAAAUAUAUAUAUAUAUAUGUAUUUAUUUGAGAAGCAGGGGGCCAGGGUCAAGCAGAUGGUUUGACAGAGAGAGAGAAAGGCCCAUCCACUGGUUCACUUCUCCACAGCAGCCAGGGCUGGGCCAAGGCCAAUGCCAGGAGCCUGCAACGCAAUCCACAUCUCCCACUGCCACCCAUGUGGGAGGUAGGAAUCCAGUCACUCAGAAAGCCACUGCUGCCUCGCAGCGUGUGAGUUAGCAGGAAGCUGGAAUCAGGAGCUAGAUCUGGGAGUUGAACCCAGGGGCUCUAACAUGGUACACGAGAGUCUCAGCUAGUGUGUCAGCUGCUGGGCUAAAUGCCUACCCCCCCAAUUUUUUAUUUUUAGACUUGGAUAUGACUCAUCAGGUAGGCCUGGACACAACAGCAUCAUGGGAAUUUAUCAAGGAAAAAGAGAUCACAGCUAUUGGGUGAGGGACCAAGAGUGGUUACCCUGGGUCGCGAAUAAUGGACCCUAACUACCCAGCAGCCCAUGGACGGAGCGCUUCCCGUGUGUCGCCGCAUUCAAUCUUCAUGGUCACCAAUGAGAUAGAUUCUACUCUGCACCCAUGCUCUUAACCAUAGCGUGCGGAUGGGCUGUGUCCUGCAGGCAGUGGGGAGCCAGAGACGGUUUGAGCGGGAGGGUGAGCCCGUUGGAGCCACGUCUCGGAUGGAACACCGCCGUGUGCAAGGCCACGAAGUUCCUCUCCGCUCCUCACACCCUUCUCCUUUGUGCCAGGUCACUGCCUGUGUUCUGGUUUCCAGGAGACAGGCAGGGCUGCUGCGGGAGGGCUGCUCCGAAAACCCCCAUGCAGACGAGGAGCAGACAUCACCACUGCUCCAAGAAACGGAGCCUGUGCACCCACUGCUGCAGAAGACGGCGCUGAGCGUGGUGAGUCAUUCAUUCCUCCAUUCAUUCAUUCAUUCUCCAAGCAGGCAACACACCCGAGCAACCUCAUCUGUCAUUUUGUAUCCCAGGGAGGAGGCGUUGCGUGCACUCAUAUAACGCUGGCUGUGUGAUAAUUCUAAGAGCGCACGCUGACUGAGCGCUCAUUCUGUGUUAGGCUACACAGCGAAGCUCUUCGCUGUUUUAUUUCUUUUAGUGCUAAUGCUACUCUGUGGGGCAGGAAUGAUAUUUUAAACAUAGUAUCACUUUAUUUUCCUUGUAUUUGAAAAAGAGAGAGAGAUACAGACAGAAAUUGUCUAUCCUCUGGUUUACUCCCCAAAUGUCCACCACGGCCGGGGCUGGGCCAAGAGGCAGCCAGGAGCCUGGGACUCCAUCUGGGUCUCCCAUGUGGGUGGCAGGGACCUCAGUAUUGAGAGAGCACCUGCUGUCUGCCAGGAUGUGCAACAGCGGGAAGCUGGCUCAGAAGUGGAGAAGCCAGGACUCGAACCGGGCACUCCCAUGGGGGAUGCAGCUGUCCUAAGCGGUGACUACACCACUGCACCACACGCCCACCUCGUGUUUUUGUACCCAUUGUCGAGAUGCAGAAGCUGACGCUCAGAGGGGCACAGGUGACCUGGCCGCUGUCUUACAGAGCCCCUGGGUGGUAGGGGGGCACCCAUGCCAGGAGACCAGCGCCAAGGCUGGGCUCCACAACAUGGCACAGCUCCCUCAAAUCCUGACCCGCGCUCACGUGGGAGGGAAGGACCCGGCCCUUGCUCCUCCUCUGUGACUUAGGUACGGCAAUGAGCAUCUCUGUUUUCUGGCUGAGUGAACUGAGGCUUGCAGAAGCGAGGCCACUUAUCCCGAGGGGCUGAGCCCUCACGGAGCAGAGCUGGCUGGGAAGGCAGCAGCGUGGGCUCCGGAGGCCCCUGGUUUUCCUGGCGAGCAGAGAGCCUGGCGCUGGGGACGUGGAAGCCCCCGUCCUUGUCACCGCACUCACCACCAGCAGCACGGUCAUUCCUUGCCCUGGGCACACGUGGCUCUAGGAAACUGAUCCGGCAAGCAGACAACACUGUGCCUUCUCCACGUCCCCUGUUCUCACUCCCUGAGACACACAGAC
Long non-coding RNA from Oryctolagus cuniculus (rabbit), 2397 nucleotides. NCBI's taxonomy places the organism in Eukaryota, Metazoa, Chordata, Mammalia, Lagomorpha, Leporidae. The record is from Ensembl.